UUUUAUUUACAAACCUUGGGCAAAUGAUUAUAAUCUAUUUUUAUCUAUAUUUCAUCAUUAUAUCUUAGAUUUAACAUCAAAAUUAUGUGAAUCAAAGUGAAAAUUUGUGAAACUUUUUUAUAUUUUAAAAAAAAUAAGAAUUUGAGUUGUGAGAGUCGAUCUAGACUUGGAUUUUGAAACUAAUCCCAUAUUUGGACUCGUGGGUUAUGGGUAGUCGGAAACUAACUUUGGACCUAGGUUUCGACCGAGCGGGCCCCGGGUUGACUUUUGUUGACUUUUUGAGAGAAGUACAAAGAUCAUAGCUUUAUCUAUUGUAAUUGUUUUCCCUUGAGUUUUUUGAUUAUAUUAAGUCAACUUUAGUUAGAUUUGAGCCGUGUGGAGGCGAAUUUUAGCGGAAAAGCUAUUUUUGAGGGUUGAGUUGGCCUAGUUGAAGUAAGUAUCUUGCCUAACUUUAUGUGGGAGAACUACCCCUUAGGAUUUGGGGUUGACUGUGUCAUUUGUGCUAUGUUAAAUCCGUGUACGUAAGGUGAUGAGUGGGUACAUGGGUUAUAUGUGGUAUUUGACCAGUUUAGACUACUUAGACUUUUUCCAUGCUUUAAUAGAAUUUUCAUAUUAUGUUCUAAAUUCUCAUAGUCAAUCUAAUCUUAUUUGUGUUAGUCUAUGCUUACAAGCCUUAAAUGACUUUGUUAAUACUUGUUCUACAUCUUACUCGAUAUUUUGCUCUUAUGUUUUAGUUGAAGUUGUUACUUCUUUCAUUAUUACAUGUUAUCUCUUCUAUUGUUGAUUUAUCAUUAUUUGAAGCCAUUGUUAAAUGUUAUUUCUUCCAUUGUUGAUUUAUCAUUAUUUGAAGUCAUUCUUAAAUAUUAUCUCUUCCAUUGUUUAUUUAUCAUUAUUUGAAGUCAUUAUUACAUGUUAUCUCUUCCCUCAUGAGUUGUUCUUAGUUGAUAUAGUAGUUACACAUUAUCUAUGUUAUUGUUGAGUUAUUGGUGUUGAAGUUGUCAAAGUCGUUAUCACAUUGAGGCGAAAUUGUUUACUGUUGAGAUAUCCUUCUUGUUGAGAAAUUUACAUUCAUUAUUAUUGUUGACAUUCUUGUACAUAUUGGGUUGAGCCAUGGACUAUUGUUGUGAAAAUAUUGAUAUUGUUGAUUAUUGGCAUGUUGUAAAAUAUGAGCUCUUGUGGUGUGAGUUGGUAUUGAGAUGUGUUAUUGAUGUGCAUGCGGCGGUAUAAGGAUAGGGGUUAAUGUGCAUGCUGUGACAUAAGGUGGGACUUGUGUGCGUGUUGCUUGUAAAGGAAUUACUUGAAGUCAUUCGGCAUCAUAAGGUGGGCUAAAGUAUGUGUAGCUAUUUCGGAAAAAAUAUUUUCAAAGUUGUUUAAAUGUAAGGCUCACGCGGUGGUAUAAGGAAAGAUUGUGAUCGAAAUUGAGAAAUGUGAAUACGAGGUGGUACCUCGGUUGUGCGCCUUGUAGUGUACGAGGUAGUACCUUAUUGGUGAUUCUUGUUGUUUAUUUCAUGUUGUAAAGAGUUAUUAGUGAAACACUUCUUGUUGCUUUCAUUCUUCCUUGCCUUAUUAGUUUGGAUCCGUAUUUGACUAUGGUGGUUCUCUUUAAUUUCUUCCCUUAUGUUUCUUUAUGCUUACAAUUCCGGUAUUAGUCUAUGUUAUUGACUUGUUUCGUAUUAGUUAUUUAUCCGCCUUCCAUUACUUCUCAUUAUUAUAUUUUCAUUAUGUUUAUUAUGUCCUAGUAGGUGUGUUGACCUGGUCUCGUCGCUACUCUACCGAGGUUAGGCUUGAUACUAAUUGGGUACCAUUGUGGUUUACUCGUAUUACACUUUUGCACAUCUUUUGUGUAGAUGCAGGUACGUCUUCCCGUGCUAGAAGUUAGAGGUUGAUUGAGUAGCUGCUUUUGGAGACUUCAAGGUAUACCGGCUUGAUGUCUGCAGUCCUCAGAGUCACAUUCUAUUUUAGACAUUCUACUAUAUAUUUAUUGUUUCAAAUAGUAUUGUAUCCCGUGACUAUUAGUACAUUCUUGUAGAGCUUAUAACUCCAUUCCACCAGGUUUUGGGAAAAAUGUUGGCUAUUAUACUGUUGAGUUUAUGAUAAUAGUGUGAAGGUUUAAUUUGAAUUUUAGUAGUAUUUUUGCUAUUUCUCUAUGCAUGUUAGGCGUACCUAGUUGUAGAGACUAGGUAUCAUCAUGACAUUCUACGGUGGAAAAUCGGGAUUCUGACAAGUUGGUAUCAGAGCUCUUGGUAUAUAGGUGCUACGAGUCAUAAGCAGGUUUAGUAGAAUCUUGCGAAUCGUUAUAGAGACAUUUUUACUUAUCUUCGAGAAGCUACGAAACUAUUAGGAAAACUCCACUACAUUGAUUCCUUAUCUUAUAGGUUGGUUGACUUCGAAAUCUAAAUCUUUGACUUUCUAUUCUCUCACAGAUGGUGAGGAUACGCACUGCUGGAUAUGAUAAACAGACAUUUGCGCCCCCUACUAGAGCCGUGAGAGGUUAGGACUAAGGCAGAGGCCGAGGAGGGUCAUGUGGUGUAGCUAGAGCUACGCCAGAGGCGCCACCAGUAGCUCUAGUUAGGGUACAGACACCCAUGGCACCUGUUGCCACCCCUGCACUUUAGGAGACGCUUGCACAGUUCUUGAGCAUGUUUGGUACUCUAGCUCAAGCGAGGUUGUUUCCACUUGCACCAGCCACAACAUAGGCUGGGGGAGGAGCUUAGACUCCUUCGACCCAUACUCUAGAGUAGCGGGGCCAUGUUGAUCAGGUAGAAGUUAUACCACUACAGCCUAUUGUUCCGGUUCAGCCCGAGGUUAAGGCACCGACAUUUGAGGAGAGCAGCUUAGACUUGAGAGGUUCUAGAAGAAUCACCCUCCUUCUUUCAGUGGCUUAGCUUCAAAGGAUGCACAUGAUUUUCUAGAGAAAUGCCAUUGUAUUCUCUGCACCAUGGGUGUUAUAGAGACGAGCGGAGUUGCUUUAACUACAUUCUAGCUGUCAGGAGCCACAUAUCAGUGGUGGCGGGUUUAUGAAGAGGGUAGCCCAGCCGAUGCAACUUCACUUACAUGGACUCUAUUUUCAGAGAUGUUUUUGAGAGAGUUUGUUCCCCAGAUCCUUGGGGAUGCAUGGCAUGUGGAAUUUGAGCAGCUGCGCCAGGGUACUAUGUCAGUGUCAGAGUAUGCUCUCAGAUUCGGUGAUUUCUCCAUACAUGCACCUGCCUUGGUUUCUACAGUCAGAGAGCGAGUCUGUUGAUUUAUCAAGGGGCUCAACUAUGUUAUUAUAUUUUGCAUAGCUUGAAAGUUGGAAAAACAAUAACCCAUAUCAAUAGGUGGUAGAGAUUACAUAGAGGUUGGAGGGUAUGCAGGGUCGUGAGAGAGAGGAUAGGGAGGCAAAAAUGCCUCGAGGUACAGGAGGAUUUAGUGGUGGCCACGCUGCAGCUACAACCCAUUAUGGUAGAGGCUAUGUAAGCCGUCUAGUUCGCUCAGCACUUCCAGCUUUUAGAGGUGGUCCGGUUAUUCCGAGGUCUCAGGUUGUACACUUUGCUCAACCACUUUUUAGUGCAUCUCCUGCACAGGGUGUCUUCAUCGGUCAGUCCAGCACACCAGGCCCGAGCUAGUCCCAACAGCCAUGCCCACCGAGAUCUUGCUUUAGUGUGGUGAUACCCUUCAUAUGUUUAGAGAAUCCCCUAGACUUAGGAGGGAUGCACCUCCGCGAACUACUUAGGCUCCACAGAUUCAGUCGGGUCCACAUACUUCACAGGCCAUGGUUGCUACUCCAGAUGCCGCUCCACCUGCACAACUAACUAGGGGUGGGUGAUGAGCGGGUAUAGAUCACCCUAGAGGAGGAUGCCAAGAUAGAUUCUAUGUUUUUCGGGGUAGGACAAAGGCAGUCACUUCAGACGCAGUCAUCACAGGUAUGGUUCCGGCUUGUUAUAGAGAUGCAUCAUUCUUAUUUGAUUCGGGAUCCACUUAUUCAUAUGUCUCAUCUUACUUUGCUCCAUAUUUGGAUAUAUCUCGUGAUUCUUUGAGUUCUCGUAUUUAUAUCUCUAUGCCCGCGGGAGAUUCUAUUAUUAUCCAUAUGUUUGAUCAUGUUUAGUUGUUAUUGGUGGUUUUGAGACCGGAGUUUAUCUAUUGUUACUCAGUAUGGUAGACUUUGAUGUGAUCUUGGGCAUGGAGUGACUGUCUCUACAUCAUGCUA
Molecule: long non-coding RNA, 4186 nt
Filed under: Nicotiana tabacum (common tobacco)
Lineage: Eukaryota; Viridiplantae; Streptophyta; Magnoliopsida; Solanales; Solanaceae
Description: long non-coding RNA (NTAB_LNC008622)
Source: RNAcentral